Molecule: unclassified non-coding RNA, 24 nt
Filed under: Mus musculus (house mouse)
Lineage: Eukaryota; Metazoa; Chordata; Mammalia; Rodentia; Muridae
Description: oocyte_clustered_small_RNA13707
Source: RNAcentral
UGAUGGCCGGCUGCUCCAAGCUUC